RNAcentral lists this ribosomal RNA (487 nucleotides) under uncultured bacterium. Its description in RNAcentral is "bacterial SSU rRNA". It matches the Rfam family "Bacterial small subunit ribosomal RNA", at positions 28 to 507 of the family's 1533-position model. The record is from RNAcentral.
GAUGAACGCUAGCGGGAGGCUUAACACAUGCAAGUCGAGGGGCAGCAUAGGGUAGCAAUACUCUGAUGGCGACCGGCAAACGGGUGAGUAACGCGUAUGCAACCUACCCUGUACAGGGGGAUAACCCGGAGAAAUUCGGACUAAUAUCCCGUAAUAAUAUCCGGAGGCAUCUUUGGAUAUUUAAAGUUUCGACGGUACGGGAUGGGCAUGCGUAACAUUAGCUGGUUGGUAAGGUAACGGCUUACCAAGGCUAUGAUGUUUAGGGGUCCUGAGAGGGUGGUCCCCCACACUGGUACUGAGACACGGACCAGACUCCUACGGGAGGCAGCAGUGAGGAAUAUUGGUCAAUGGGCGCAAGCCUGAACCAGCCAUCCCGCGUGCAGGAAGGCGGCCCUAUGGGUUGUAAACUGCUUUUCCAGGGAGAGAAACUUACGCACGUGUUGCGUGACUGACGGUACCCUGGGAAUAAGCAUCGGCUAACUCCGUG